RNAcentral lists this ribosomal RNA (257 nucleotides) under Rhipicephalus haemaphysaloides. Its description in RNAcentral is "partial small subunit ribosomal RNA". It matches the Rfam family "Eukaryotic small subunit ribosomal RNA", at positions 594 to 855 of the family's 1831-position model. The record is from RNAcentral. Lineage: Eukaryota; Metazoa; Arthropoda; Arachnida; Ixodida; Ixodidae.
AUAGCGUAUACUAAAGCUGCUGCGGUUAAAAAGCUCGUAGUUGGAUCUCAGUUCCAGACGAGUAGUGCAUCUACCCGAUGCGACGGCUCGGACUGAACAUCAUGCCGGUUCUUUCUUGGUGCACUUCAUUGUGUGCCUCGAGAUGGCCGGUGCUUUUACUUUGAAAAAAUUAGAGUGCUUAACGCAGGCGAGUCGCCUGAAUAAACUUGCAUGGAAUAAUAGAACAAGACCUCGUUUCCGUUCUGUUGGUUUUUGGA